UACGGAGGGGGCUAGCGUUGUUCGGAAUUAAUGGGCGUAAAGCGCGCGUAGGCGGACCUGCAAGUCGGGGGUGAAAGCCCGAGGCUUAACCUAGGAACUGCCUUCGAUACUGCGGGUCUCGAGUCCGGGAGAGGUGAGUGGAAUUCCUAGUGUAGAGGUGAAAUUCGUAGAUAUUAGGAAGAACACCAGUGGCGAAGGCGGCUCACUGGACCGGUACUGACGCUGAGGCACGAAAGCGUGGGGAGCAAACAGG
This 253-nucleotide ribosomal RNA is filed under the name uncultured bacterium. RNAcentral describes it as "partial 16S ribosomal RNA". It matches the Rfam family "Bacterial small subunit ribosomal RNA", at positions 524 to 776 of the family's 1533-position model. The record is from RNAcentral.